This 327-nucleotide unclassified non-coding RNA is filed under the name Halobacillus karajensis. RNAcentral describes it as "cspA". The record is from RNAcentral. Lineage: Bacteria; Bacillati; Bacillota; Bacilli; Caryophanales; Bacillaceae.
ACUUGAAAGUGACUUUCGACUUGAAUGAAUAGGCAGAGCAAUUAUAGUAAUACAAUGUGGAUGUUUAAUCCACGCAGGAGGUAACAAUAUGUUACAAGGUACAGUUAAAUGGUUCAACGCAGAAAAAGGUUUCGGUUUUAUUGAAGUAGAAGGACAAGACGAUGUCUUUGUACACUUCUCUGCUAUUCAAGGCGAAGGAUUCAAAACUCUAGAAGAAAAUGAACAAGUUACUUUUGAAGUUGUUGAAGGCGACCGUGGCCCACAAGCGGCUAACGUCCAAAAAUAAGUAGGAUGAAAAGACUUCCGAAUCGUUCGGAAGUCUUUUUU